This 3797-nucleotide long non-coding RNA is filed under the name Sus scrofa (pig). Its description in RNAcentral is "lncRNA (ENSSSCG00035071478.1)". Lineage: Eukaryota; Metazoa; Chordata; Mammalia; Artiodactyla; Suidae. The record is from RNAcentral.
UCAAUAUUGUGCCCCCCAAAUUCAUGUCCAUCUAGAACCGCAGAGUGUGACCUUAUUUGGAAAUGGAUGUUUUUUGUUUUUUGUAGAUGGAAUUACUUAAGUUUUCAGAUGAGACCACACGGGACUAGGAUGAACUGGAAAUCCAGCAUCCUUAGAAGAGAUGGAAAGAACAUGGAGAGACCCAGAGAAGACAGCAAUGAGGAUGGAGGAGACACGGAGUGAGGCACCUACAAGCCAGAGAUGUUGGGGGUUACCUACAACUGGCAGCCGGAGAAGGGCUGCAGCGUGCCUUCUCCCUCAGAGGCCCCAGAAAGAACCAACCGUGCUGACAGCUUGAUUCCAAACUGCUAGCCUCCGCAAGUGUGUGAAAAUAAGUUCCUGCUGCUUUAAGCCUUUGAGUUGGUGGUGCUUUGUUACUGUGGUCCUAGGAAACCAACACAGCCUCCUCCCCUCUUUUGAGCUUUGCCAGGAAGGACACUUUGACCCUUGGACUUGUUUCCUCAGAAGAUGCAAUCUUGUAAAACCUUUACGAUCUGCUUAAAAUAAUUUCUAUCAUGGUUGGCACGGUCACGAUAAAAGAAAUUUUCACGCAUUGAGGUAUGGGGAAGUCGUUCUGGCUCACACGAGUGGACUUGAAUCUUAUGCUAACAGCCUGUUUGUGGCCUCUUAAACAUACAUGGUACAUCUGCCUUAAUUAUUAAAGAAAAGGGUGCAUUGACCAGAUGUAAAGAAUGUCCAUGUUAAAAAUAAAGAUUAGGUACCUCCCUCCUGAGACACCAAAGCUGGACUUCCUUCAAUGAUAAGACUCCCAUCCUGGGUGCUAAGGCCGUACUGACUCCCUGUGUAUGUGCUGAUCUGUUUGUUUUUUUGUUUUGUUUUGUUUUUUUAAACCUUGAAGGAAUGUAUCCCUGACUCGUUGCAUGUUCUUUGUUCUGACAAGAUAUAAAACUGUGCCAAAACCCACACUGCUCUGGAGCAUUUCCUCAGAGUUGUUGGAGAGGCUGUCUUCCAGGUUAGAGUCCUCAGUUUGACGUCAGUAAAACUCAUUUCUAUUCCCAUUAUAGUUUGGUUGUGGAUUAUUUGCAUCAACAGUUAUAUAGCAAAGUGAUUUUAAAUAAAUAUAUUAGAUAUGCUAUUAAAGUACUUAGAAACAAUCUUCAAAAAUAUCAAGAUGGGAAUUUCCUCGUGGUCUAGGCAUUAAGGAUUGGACAUUGUUGUGACUCAGGUCCAACCCCUGGCCCAGGAACAUUGCAUGCCCCAGGUGCAGCCCCCCCAAAAAAAAUCAAGAUAAAUUUCCCUAUUUCACAAGUGAUGCAUGUCACUUCAUUUGCUUCAGAUUAAUCCAUAAGAACACAAAUGAUUUACUGACUCAAACUGAAAUAAUAUACAUCAUUUUAAAGUAUUUAAAAUAUAUAUUUUAAAGUACAGAGAAAAAUUACCUAGUGAUAUCUAUGGCAUCAAGAAUAGAAAAAAAAAAAAACUUGCCAUUUUCAUUCUUGGAUGUUUAGAAUUUCUGCAGUUGAAUUGUGUGAAAUGUCCUGGUUUGGAUUUUCAAAUCAUGAUGUUUGAUAUCUAGAUGGCAACAUGAGAGAUUUCCAGCUGCAAUUUGCCAUCACUUCUCAAACAAUACACUGUAGGGGGGCGGGGGACAGUCUUUAUCCCAAUAAACAGCAGCUACACUGGACAGAACAAGUGGCAGCUCUUCCGGAUGAGUUUGGAUCAGAUGAAUGUAACUUCGAGAUCCAAUGGCGAUCAUCUUGAGGAGAAUCAUCACCAUGAGGUCCUUGUUAAUUUGAAUCACCAGUGUCACCUAUCCUUCCUGUCAUUCAUGACUCAUUAACGGCACAGCAAGCAGAGAUAGUACCAAGCAGGGAAAAUGAUUUAGGACUAUUCAAUGGGCAGUACCACUCUGAUGACCAGAGUGGGUCAUCUGUGAGAUGAACUGGGUAUCUGAGUGGUAAGAACACCAACUAUUUUCCUGUUCAGUACCCAUCUUGAGAUCUUUGAAACCAUUUUAUCUAUCUAUCCAUCCAUCCAUCCAUCCAUCCAUCCAACGAUCCAUCUAUCUAUGCCGUGCCCAUGGCAUGUGGAAAUUCCCGGGCUAGGGACUGAACACAGCAAUGGCCAUGCCAAAUCCUUAACUGCUUGGCCACCACAGAACUCCUCAAAACCAUUUCAGAGGGAGAAAUGUUUAAACAAUUAUUUUGUUUUCUGAUUCUCAGCAAUGCAUUUCACCACCUUGAAGAAAAUGCACUUGAGGACCACCUCUGCCAACGGGCAGUAACUUCCCUGUUACAGUGUUGUGGUGUCUGGCCUCGUGUCUGAGAGGGGGAGCUUGGGGCACAGUGAGCUUCAGAGAGCUUGAACCACGGGUUGGGGAUGUGCCCCUGGGCCAGAGCCGUGAGGUCUUCACUUUGUUAUCAUUUCAGCCUCUCACCUCACUGGACACCAUUCAGAGGGUGUUUGGGAUAAAGAUGCCAAUGUGUCUUGUCGGUAUCCCACACAGGUUUCUAAAGGAACCUCAACUUUAGAACCGACUCCGUUUCCUCUCUGUCCUUCCCCCUUCAGCAUCUGGCCGGUUAUGGAGCACACGUUUGAACUUGCCAGCAGCUCGUCUAUGUUUCUGCAGCGCAGGAGGGGCCGCCAUCUUGUCAGCCAAGCGUGGGCAGACACGUGACAGAACGGAAUUAUGAAGACUUCAGUCAUUUGCAUUGCUCAGACCUCACCCAAAAGUUCUUGUGAAGGGAGGAGUCCUUGUUUCUUUUUUUUCUUUGUUUUUUUUGCUAUUUCUUGGGCCACUCCUGCGGCAUAUGGAGGUUCCCAAAUAAUUAUUUUCAUGUUGUUUUCUUCUUUUUUUAGGGCCACAUAUGCAGCAUCUGGAAGUUCCCAGGCUAGGAGUUGAAUCAGAGCUGCAGCUGCCAGCCACAUCCACAGCAAUGCCAGAUUGGCAGCCUAUACCACAGCUUGCAGCAAUGCCGGAUCCUUCACCCACUGAGUGAGGCUAGGGAUUGAACCCCACAUCCUCAGGGAUACUAGUCAGUUCUUGACCUGCUAAGCCACCAUGGGAACUCCUAUUUUCAGAUUUUGAUGGAAAUUGUGUGUAUUUACAGAUAGGAAAGAAAUAAGCAGCAUCAAGUAUCCUUGAAACACUGCCUGCAAGCCCAUUUAUUAGGUACGAGAACUGUGGUUGAAGAUACAUAAUCUGAACAAUGGUUUUUUUAGUUGAUACUGUGACAAUUUAAGGUCAUUCCCAAUAGAAAGCAAAUGGCUAAGUCACCCAGCCAGCCCUAGUGGUCAGUUCUGAAUCUUCAGAAUAAAUCUCCACACUGUAAUCAGCAUCCCACACGUUUUCCACUGAGCUUAUGAAAUCCAAGAAAGUUUUCUUUAAAAGUUAUUUUUACCAAAUAAUAAAUCAAAGGCAUACAGAGGUUUCAAAUUCAGACAUUUCCAUCACAUAAUUACUUCAAAUCACCCUCUCUCUUAUCCAUUCUAACCUGAAUUUUAGAGUGCAGUGUUUAUGAUAUAACUAUGUAUCUCUUGGCAUAGAUAUCUCAAGAUUAUUACCAUAGACAUUUAGUGGAACUGGUCCAAUUUUAAACUGAAAACGGUGCUUUAAAAGAGAUUUUUAAAUUCUGGUACCCCUGUUUAGGAAAUAAUUACAAUUCAAUAAAAAAAAGUCAUAAUAUUAAGACAGUGACAGAGUUCCUUUGGAGAUUCUUGACUAGAUUUCUUCCUUAAAAAGAAAAAAAAAAGAAAAAACAAUAAACAAGAAGAGUUUAAACUUGUUUCAAAGUGUA